UUUCAACUGAUCUAUUAGGGCCAUAAACCACUGUUAAACACCAAAAAAAAGUUAUCCAAUGGUCCUUGAAAGACAACGGAAAUAUGUCUUUGAGAAAUAAUAUGCCGAGAGGCUACCUAAAAAGAUAGGUCCCAAAGCAACCAUAUGCCACCUGACAAACCUGAAGCAUCCACACCCAAAAAUUCCAUUGGUCUAUUACCUCAAACCAAACAAACAAAAGUAAUAUUCGGAGCCUCCAACUUAGUUUUCCUGAAGCAACAAAAGAAGCGAUGUUGAGACCCCUG
Molecule: long non-coding RNA, 284 nt
Filed under: Amborella trichopoda
Lineage: Eukaryota; Viridiplantae; Streptophyta; Magnoliopsida; Amborellales; Amborellaceae
Description: long non-coding RNA (ATRI_LNC004961)
Source: RNAcentral